RNAcentral lists this ribosomal RNA (706 nucleotides) under Tulasnellaceae sp. 5 MB-2012. RNAcentral's name for it is "eukaryotic LSU rRNA". The stretch from base 161 to 319 matches the Rfam family "5.8S ribosomal RNA". Lineage: Eukaryota; Fungi; Basidiomycota; Agaricomycetes; Cantharellales; Tulasnellaceae. The record is from RNAcentral.
GAGCGAGAGUGUCACUACUCCGCCCACGCAUGCGCCGUGUCGGUGCGUUUGUGACCGAGGCGCGUCUGGGAUGCCGCAUAUCGCAUGCGGUCGUAAGACCCGACCGCUUCGUGUUGACUUACUCCCACCUAACUGUAUAUACAUAAUGCGAGGAAAUUACAACUGGUAGCGUUGGAUCCCUCGGCAUGGCAUUCGAUGAAGGACGCGGCCAGCUGCGAAAUGUGAUGUGAAUUGCAACUCAAAGCGGUUAUCGUGAAUCAUUGACUUUUUGAACGCAUUGCACCGCCCUUUUGGGAGUGGUACGCCCGAUUGAGUAUCAUAAAGAUCUUCAGACAGUGGCAUUCCGGUCGUUCAAUCGACACGAAUGCGGAUGCUGCAAGCCAUCUUGCGAGGUGGUGGAGGCAUGUGCAUUUGGGUGUUUCUGUACUGGCUUCGAGACUGCCCGGUAGGCGUUUGCCUGUCGCGUGUCUUUAGAUGCAGUAGCAGUCGCUCGCGAUCUUGCAAGUCCGACUCCGUGUAGUGACUUUCAACACACGGAGGAGUGUCUUUGUGCACACUUGUGAGAGGUGACACCGCUUCUAAUUCGCCCUCGGGCAACACCGGUCCUUCGGGAUCGACAUGAUGAAUUGGUCUCACUCGGGUGGGACGACCCGCUCGAUUUAAGCAUAUUAUUCAGCGGAGGAAAAGAAACAACCAAGGAUUCCCC